GCAGCCAUUGGGCGCGCUCAGGGUGGCCGCUGCGAGCGUGGGGCGAGCGUGGACCGCGGCGCGACGGUGCGACUCCUUCCCCGGCCCUUCUCCCCGCCGCAGGCGAGGGCACCGUGUGGCGGCGGCGGGGCCAGCGAGGCCGGAGGAGGCGGCUGUGCCCGGGCAUGGUGGUCUGGGGCAACGCGGAAGAAUCCUGUUUUGGUGGUGCAGCUCUUGGGAUCAGUGCUCUGAGCACCCAGCAGAAGAGGCUCUGAAUGCUUCGGGCUCAGUUAGUCAAGCACCGUGAGCUGCAACAGGGAACAUACAGACAGGAGGCCAGCUGGAGUCUCUCUCUUUCACUUCCUGACGUGUACACCCCGUCAACCCUCAAAUUUCAGCCUCCGAAGCUCCGAGAAAGCCCCUUGGGGAAUACUCUGCUCCUCCCUUUCACUGGGCAGAGCGACCAGCACAGGACCCAGCAUUAGAGAGCUGAACAGCCCCAGACCCCGCGGGCCGGGAGAGCUUCUGGGCAUCCUUCCGUGGGGUCCCAUCACCUCCCUGCUGGAGGCAGACUGGGUACCAGGACCCUGCGGUGAAGCCGACUGGGGAGCAGCUUCCUCCAGCCUCUCCAAGCACAGACGUCAGCGGCGAGGCUCAGACUUGGUGGCUGUGCUCUGUCUCUGCACAGGCUUGUGUACGCGCAGCGGGGGACCCACGCAGGGGACCGGGGUGGGGAAGCACACAGGAGGCAAGUGCAGAGUGGCGGCAAGUGGCGGUGGUGAUGCUGGGGCAGUGCGAGCGGACAGCGGCUCUCCUGGAGGCUCCACCCCUCGGCGGGCUGGCGUGGGAC
This is a long non-coding RNA of Balaenoptera ricei (Rice's whale), 829 nucleotides long. RefSeq lists it as uncharacterized. Lineage: Eukaryota; Metazoa; Chordata; Mammalia; Artiodactyla; Balaenopteridae. The record is from RefSeq and is a predicted model, not a curated record. The transcript has 4 exons.